GGGUGACCUCAGAUCAGGUAGGGAUACCCGCUGAACU
Molecule: ribosomal RNA, 37 nt
Filed under: Peziza fimeti
Lineage: Eukaryota; Fungi; Ascomycota; Pezizomycetes; Pezizales; Pezizaceae
Description: partial 28S ribosomal RNA
Source: RNAcentral